GAUGAAGAACGUAGCGAAAUGCGAUACGUAAUGUGAAUUGCAGAAUUCAGUGAUUCAUCGAGUCUUUGAACGCACAUUGCGCCCCCUGGUAUUCCGGGGGGCAUGCCUGUCCGAGCGUCAUUGCUGCCCUCAAGCACGGCUUGUGUGUUGGGCCUCCGUCCUCCUCCCGGGGGACGGGCCCGAAAGGCAGCGGCGGCACCGCGUCCGGUCCUCGAGCGUAUGGGGCUUCGUCACCCGCUCUUGUAGGCCCGGCCGGCGCUUGCCGACACAUCAAUCUUUUUUCCAGGUUGACCUCGGAUCAGGUAGGGAUACCCGCUGAACUUAAGCAUAUCAAUAAGCGGAGGA
This 345-nucleotide unclassified non-coding RNA is filed under the name soil metagenome. RNAcentral's name for it is "partial contains 5.8S ribosomal RNA, internal transcribed spacer 2, and large subunit ribosomal RNA". The stretch from base 1 to 120 matches the Rfam family "5.8S ribosomal RNA", at positions 35 to 154 of the family's 154-position model. The record is from RNAcentral.